This 435-nucleotide ribosomal RNA is filed under the name uncultured bacterium. RNAcentral describes it as "bacterial SSU rRNA". It matches the Rfam family "Bacterial small subunit ribosomal RNA", at positions 29 to 507 of the family's 1533-position model. The record is from RNAcentral.
AACGAACGCUGGCGGCAGGCUUAACACAUGCAAGUCGAACGGUUGUAGCAAUACAGCAGUGGCAGACGGGUGAGUAACACGUGGGAACCUUCCUAGGGGUACGGAACAACUCAGGGAAACUUGAGCUAAUACCGUAUACGUCCGUGAGGAGAAAGAUUUAUCGCCCUUAGACGGGCCCGCGUCGGAUUAGCUAGUUGGUGGGGUAACGGCCUACCAAGGCGACGAUCCGUAGCUGAUCUUAGAGGAUGAUCAGCCACACUGGGACUGAGACACGGCCCAGACUCCUACGGGAGGCAGCAGUGGGGAAUCUUGGACAAUGGGCGCAAGCCUGAUCCAGCCAUACCGCGUGAGUGAAGAAGGUCUUCGGAUUGUAAAGCUCUUUUACCAGGGACGAUAAUGACGGUACCUGGAGAAUAAGCCCCGGCAAACUUCGUG